This is a non-coding RNA of Salmo salar (Atlantic salmon), 97 nucleotides long. Lineage: Eukaryota; Metazoa; Chordata; Actinopteri; Salmoniformes; Salmonidae. The record is from Rfam.
UCUGAAAUCAGGUUAGCCACUGACUAACGUACAUUGCGCCUAUCCCAAUUCCACUGUGCGUGUGACAGCGGCUAACCUGGUUUUGGGGAGACUUCUC